RNAcentral lists this ribosomal RNA (497 nucleotides) under uncultured bacterium. RNAcentral's name for it is "partial 16S ribosomal RNA". It matches the Rfam family "Bacterial small subunit ribosomal RNA", at positions 28 to 507 of the family's 1533-position model. The record is from RNAcentral.
GAUGAACGCUGGCGGCGUGCCUAAUACAUGCAAGUCGAGCGAACAGACGAGGAGCUUGCUCCUCUGACGUUAGCGGCGGACGGGUGAGUAACACGUGGAUAACCUACCUAUAAGACUGGGAUAACUUCGGGAAACCGGAGCUAAUACCGGAUAAUAUAUUGAACCGCAUGGUUCAAUAGUGAAAGACGGUUUUGCUGUCACUUAUAGAUGGAUCCGCGCCGCAUUAGCUAGUUGGUAAGGUAACGGCUUACCAAGGCAACGAUGCGUAGCCGACCUGAGAGGGUGAUCCGCCACACUGGAACUGAGACACGGUCCAGACUCCUACGGGAGGCAGCAGUAGGGAAUCUUACGCAAUGGGCGGAAGCUUGACGGAGCAACGCCGCGUGAGUGAUGAAGGUCUUCGGAUCGUAAAACUCUGUUAUUAGGGAAGAACAAAUGUGUAAGUAACUAUGCACGUCUUGACGGUACCUAAUCAGAAAGCCACGGCUAACUACGUG